UACGAAGGGUGCAAGCGUUACUCGGAAUUACUGGGCGUAAAGCGUGCGUAGGUGGUUUGUUAAGUCUGUUGUGAAAGCCCCGGGCUCAACCUGGGAAUGGCAAUGGAUACUGGCAAGCUAGAGUGCGGUAGAGGGUAGUGGAAUUCCCGGUGUAGCGGUGAAAUCCGUAGAUAUCAUGAGGAACAUCAGUGGCGAAGGCGGCUCUCUGGUACACUUCUGACGCUCAGACGCGAAAGCAUGGGGAGCAAACAGG
This 253-nucleotide ribosomal RNA is filed under the name uncultured bacterium. RNAcentral's name for it is "partial 16S ribosomal RNA". It matches the Rfam family "Bacterial small subunit ribosomal RNA", at positions 524 to 776 of the family's 1533-position model. The record is from RNAcentral.